Molecule: long non-coding RNA, 1015 nt
Filed under: Coffea arabica (coffee)
Lineage: Eukaryota; Viridiplantae; Streptophyta; Magnoliopsida; Gentianales; Rubiaceae
Description: long non-coding RNA (CARA_LNC006707)
Source: RNAcentral
ACUAUUGGUCUCCUUAAAAUUAAAAAAUAAACAGAAAGAGUAAACAACAAUAUAAUGAGCCUACCAGCACAUAUUGGUAUAAUAAGAGUUUCUCCAAUUUAGAAAGAAGGGGAAAAAAAAAAAAAGAAGCAGCACUUGUUCUAAUGCAGAGUAAGCAGGUCUAUAUAUAUAUAUAUAUAAAAGCAAGAGGUAACAUUGAAAACCAACGGAAAAUGUUUAUUAUUAUGUAGGACGACGCUGCGUACAUAGCAUCUGCAUCUGCAUCUUAGAUGAGCGGUACAAUAAUUAAUUAAGAUUAUAACGUCUUGAGAAAUUUUGACAGCAACUGCACAUUGAUCCACAUGGAUCGCCAUUCCACUACCUUUAAUUUCAUGGCAUAAUACUACUACUAUAGCAGGAUAGUUCUGUGGCAGCUGGUAAAACACAGCAUGCAGAUGUAGUAGCCUUCACGCAAUUAUACACUCCUCUCCUCUCUGUGUGUGUGCGUGUGUUUCCAUGCACAUGUAGGUCUGCUGCGUUAGGUACUACGCGAUCCAUGUCCAGCCGCCAGCCAUAUAUAUAUAGAUGGGUGGAUUUAAACUUUGUGACCGACACCGGGACUGCGGCCUGGUGUGGUGGAGCGGACAUCAUCUCCUCCAUCUGCUUCAUCCAAAGCUUCAUUGGCUACGGUGGGACUAGUCACGUGAUUAUCUCGUUGGGGAAAGGAAACCUGGCUUUGCAAGAUGCGGGCGUGCCCGCUGCUAAAGUCUUUUUCAUGCAAGCUCCUUUUUCCGUCGGCAGUAUUCUUCUCUGGUUUCAACAAUGGUCUCGCCUCGCUAGAGACGAUUUCGUAAGACAAAAUUAGUGCAAGAAGAAAAGCACUACUGAGCAGGACCCUGGCCUUAGUCGUCAUUGGCGAUUGAAUGAAUCGCUACAACUAAUUAAUACAAGAAGAAUAAUUAAGGAUGGUGUAAUGUAUAUGAAUAGAAGAAAGGGAUUGUUUGUGGAGUAAAUGAGUGUUUUGAUCAAAUGUAGU